UACGAAGGGGGCUGGCGUUGCUCGGAAUCACUGGGCGUAAAGCGCACGUAGGCGGAUUGCUAAGUCAGGGGUGAAAUCCUGGAGCUCAAUUCCAGAACUGCCUUUGAUACUGGCGAUCUCGAGUCCGGGAGAGGUGAGUGGAACUGCGAGUGUAGAGGUGAAAUUCGUAGAUAUUCGCAAGAACACCAGUGGCGAAGGCGGCUCACUGGCCCGGUACUGACGCUGAGGUGCGAAAGCGUGGGGAGCAAACAGG
Molecule: ribosomal RNA, 253 nt
Filed under: uncultured bacterium
Lineage: Bacteria
Description: partial 16S ribosomal RNA
Rfam family: Bacterial small subunit ribosomal RNA
Source: RNAcentral